CGUAAGGGGCAAGCGUUGUCCGGAAUCACUGGGCGUAAAGCGCACGUAGGCGGCUUGGCAAGUCAGGGGUGCAAGCUCUAGGCUUAACCUAGAAAUUGCCUCUGAAACUACCUCGCUUGAGUGUCAGAGGGGAAACUGGAAUUCACGGUGUAGCGGUGAAAUGCGUAGAUAUCGUGGAGAACACCCGUGGCGAAGGCGGGUUUCUGGCUGACGACUGACGCUGAGGUGCGAAAGCUAGGGGAGCGAACGGGAUUAGAUACCCCGGUAGUCCUAGCCGUAAACGAUGAGUACUAGGUGUGGGGGUUAACACCUCCGUGCCGACGCCAACGCAUUAAGUACUCCGCCUGGGGACUACGGCCGCAAGGUUA
Molecule: ribosomal RNA, 368 nt
Filed under: uncultured organism
Description: bacterial SSU rRNA
Rfam family: Bacterial small subunit ribosomal RNA
Source: RNAcentral